This 73-nucleotide transfer RNA is filed under the name Saccharothrix sp. ALI-22-I. It matches the Rfam family "tRNA". Rfam says of the family: Transfer RNA (tRNA) molecules are approximately 80 nucleotides in length. Their secondary structure includes four short double-helical elements and three loops (D, anti-codon, and T loops). The record is from Rfam by way of RNAcentral. Lineage: Bacteria; Bacillati; Actinomycetota; Actinomycetes; Pseudonocardiales; Pseudonocardiaceae.
AGGCGUGUAGCUCAGCGGCAAGAGCAACGGUCUCCAAAACCGUGUGUCGCGGGUUCGAGUCCCGCCGCGCCUG